This is a long non-coding RNA of Cyprinus carpio carpio, 713 nucleotides long. NCBI's taxonomy places the organism in Eukaryota, Metazoa, Chordata, Actinopteri, Cypriniformes, Cyprinidae. The record is from Ensembl.
AUGCGAGCCACCACAGGCUCUGAGAGAAAGGGGAGCACCGGGAGAAAUGGACCAUUUCCUCUCUGCAGCCUCCUCUCUACCACCCUGUCCGCUGCUCGCGAUGUAAAUCAGAGAGAUGCGAGCCAAUGCAACCCAAGCGCAUGUGGGGUGUGUGUGGGCUGCCUGAGUGAAGUUAAAGACCCCAUCCAGCAGCCUGUCAGUCCAUCGUGUGUGUGUGUGCAUGUGUGUGCAUGAUAUUCUUUAAAUAACAGUUUCAACUAGAUCUGCUUCUCUUGAAAGAAACAUCGUUUGUGUAAGUUUAGUCUAUAGGUUUUGAUUCUGCAUAAAUGAUAUUUUGAUAAGUGCACAAAUGACUUCUGCAUUCAUAAUGCAGCAUAAAAUAGUACAGUACAUUGUCAUAUUUGUAAUCUGUCCUCUACAGUCAGAUUUUCAUCCUUUCAUCCUCAUCCAAUCUGAGGAGGUUUGUUAAAAUUAGUUGUUGAAAUACUCAAUAAAAAUGCAUGCACUGAGGUUGCAUGCACUGGAGUCUGUAUUUCUGUACUUGUGUAAAAUGUAUUUCUACCCUUGGAAACAAUACACAACAUAUUAACCCAUUAGAAGUAAAUUCAGUAUCUGUAUAUAGUUAAAUAAACUACCUGUAAAAAAAUCGGAAUAGUUUGUAAUGUUUUUGAAAGAGGUCCGCAUUUAUUAGAUCUAAAAUAGAGUAAAAAGAC